UACGUAGGGUCCGAGCGUUGUCCGGAAUUAUUGGGCGUAAAGAGCUCGUAGGCGGUUUGUCGCGUCUGCCGUGAAAUUUCGGGGCUCAACCCCGAACUUGCGGUGGGUACGGGCAGACUAGAGUGUGGUAGGGGAGACUGGAAUUCCUGGUGUAGCGGUGAAAUGCGCAGAUAUCAGGAGGAACACCGAUGGCGAAGGCAGGUCUCUGGGCCACUACUGACGCUGAGAAGCGAAAGCAUGGGGAGCGAACAGG
This 253-nucleotide ribosomal RNA is filed under the name uncultured bacterium. RNAcentral's name for it is "partial 16S ribosomal RNA". It matches the Rfam family "Bacterial small subunit ribosomal RNA", at positions 524 to 776 of the family's 1533-position model. The record is from RNAcentral.